Molecule: ribosomal RNA, 255 nt
Filed under: uncultured bacterium
Lineage: Bacteria
Description: partial 16S ribosomal RNA
Rfam family: Bacterial small subunit ribosomal RNA
Source: RNAcentral
UACGUAGGGCGCAAGCGUUGUCCGGAAUUAUUGGGCGUAAAGAGCUCGUAGGCGGUCUGUCACGUCUGCCGUGAAAACCCGAGGCGUUAACCUCGUGGCUUGCGGUGGAUACGGGCAGACUAGAGGUAGGUAGGGGAGAACGGAAUUCCCGGUGUAGCGGUGAAAUGCGCAGAUAUCAGGAGGAACACCGGUGGCGAAGGCGGGUCUCUGGGCAGUAACUGACGCUGAGGAACGAAAGCGUGGGUAGCGAACAGG